GCCUGUGGAAAACCUAGCUUUGACACUGACUUGUAAUCAGUAGGUCCCGGGUUCGAUUCCUGGUGCCGGCACCA
RNAcentral lists this transfer RNA (74 nucleotides) under Pseudomonas aeruginosa. Its description in RNAcentral is "tRNA-Ser". Lineage: Bacteria; Pseudomonadati; Pseudomonadota; Gammaproteobacteria; Pseudomonadales; Pseudomonadaceae. RNAcentral also lists the same sequence under 1 other name. The record is from RNAcentral.